UUUCCGUGGGUGAACCUGCGGAAGGAUCAUUCAUAAUAAGUGUUUUAUGGAACUUUUUUAAAUCCAUAUCGAGCUUGUGUGCAAUGUCAGGGUUGGUCACUUUUCAUCAGCCCCAAACAUCAACUAGUAUAUCAACUCUUUGUCUGAAAAAUAUUAUGAAUAAAACAAAUCAAAAUACAACUAUCAACAACGGAUCUCUUGGCUCUG
This 207-nucleotide unclassified non-coding RNA is filed under the name plant metagenome. Its description in RNAcentral is "partial contains small subunit ribosomal RNA, internal transcribed spacer 1, and 5.8S ribosomal RNA". The record is from RNAcentral.